Molecule: long non-coding RNA, 703 nt
Filed under: Homo sapiens (human)
Lineage: Eukaryota; Metazoa; Chordata; Mammalia; Primates; Hominidae
Description: HSALNT0118344
Source: RNAcentral
GCGGCGUGGACAGCGGCCCCGGCACCCAGCGCCCCGCCGCCCGCAAGCCGCGCGCCCGUCCGCCGCGCCCCGAGCCCGCCGCUUCCUAUCUCAGCGCCCUGCCGCCGCCGCCGCGGCCCAGCGAGCGGCCCUGAUGCAGGCCAUCAAGUGUGUGGUGGUGGGAGACGGAGCUGUAGGUAAAACUUGCCUACUGAUCAGUUACACAACCAAUGCAUUUCCUGGAGAAUAUAUCCCUACUGUUAUUGCCCAGGCCGGACUUGAAGUACUGGUCCUUCCACCUCAGCCUAUUGAGUAGCAUGCUCCACUGCACGUAGCCUGAUGGAACGUUUUGUAAAUAAUCCUCAGUCUGUCAUUUGUCUUUGUACUUCAUUAUGGUGUCUUCUGCCAUAUAGAAAUUUAGCAUUUAAUGUAAAUAAUACCACCUUACCCGGGCACGGUGGCUCACACCUGUAAUUCCAGCACUUUGGGAAGCUGAGGUGGGCGCAUUAUGAGGUCAGGAGAUCAAGACCAGCCUGAUCAACAUGGUGAAACCCCAUCUCUACUAAAAAUACAAAAAUUAACCGGGCAUGGUGGCGUGCACCUGUAAUCCCAGCUCCUCAGGAGGCUGAGGCAGGAGAAUCACUUGAACCCAGGAGGUGGAGGUUGCAGUGAGCCGAGAUCGCACCACUGCACUCCAGCCUGGGUGACAGUGAGAUUCUGUCUC